CCUACGGGGGGCAGCAGUGAGGAAUAUUGGUCAAUGGGCGUAAGCCUGAACCAGCCAAGUCGCGUGAGGGAUGAAGGUUCUAUGGAUCGUAAACCUCUUUUAUAAGGGAAUAAAGUGUGGGACGUGUCCUGUUUUGUAUGUACCUUAUGAAUAAGGAUCGGCUAACUCCGUGCCAGCAGCCGCGGUAAUACGGAGGAUCCGAGCGUUAUCCGGAUUUAUUGGGUUUAACGGGUGCGUAGGCGGCCUGUUAAGUCAGCGGUGAAAGUCUGUGGCUCAACCAUCGAAUUGCCGUUGAAACUGGGAGGCUUGAGUAUGUUUGAGGCAGGCGGAAUGCGUGGUGUAGCGGUGAAAUGCUUAGAUAUCACGCAGAACCCCGAUUGCGAAGGCAGCCUGCCAAGCCAUGACUGACGCUGAUGCACGAAAGCGUGGGGAUCAAACAGGAUUAGAUACCCUAGUAGUC
This 460-nucleotide ribosomal RNA is filed under the name uncultured bacterium. RNAcentral's name for it is "partial 16S ribosomal RNA". It matches the Rfam family "Bacterial small subunit ribosomal RNA", at positions 338 to 795 of the family's 1533-position model. The record is from RNAcentral.